Molecule: ribosomal RNA, 253 nt
Filed under: uncultured bacterium
Lineage: Bacteria
Description: partial 16S ribosomal RNA
Rfam family: Bacterial small subunit ribosomal RNA
Source: RNAcentral
UACGUAGGGUGCGAGCGUUAAUCGGAAUUACUGGGCGUAAAGCGUGCGCAGGCGGUUUUGUAAGUCAGAUGUGAAAUCCCCGGGCUCCAACUGGGAACUGCGUUUGAAACUACAAGACUAGAGUGUAGCAGAGGGGGGUGGAAUUCCACGUGUAGCAGUGAAAUGCGUAGAGAUGUGGAGGAACACCGAUGGCGAAGGCAGCCCCCUGGGUUAACACUGACGCUCAGGCACGAAAGCAUGGGGAGCAAACAGG